Salmo salar (Atlantic salmon) is the source of this 54-nucleotide non-coding RNA. Lineage: Eukaryota; Metazoa; Chordata; Actinopteri; Salmoniformes; Salmonidae. The record is from Rfam.
UCCAUUCACUACUGUAAGUUGCUCUGGAUAAGAGUGUCUGCUAAAUGACUAAAA